UUGCUUCAGCAGCGCAUAUUCUAAAAUUAGAAGGACGCAGAGAAGAUCAGUGUGGCCCCUGUGUGAGGAUGACACACAAAUUUGUAAAGCAUUCCACGAAAAA
This 103-nucleotide small nuclear RNA is filed under the name Microcebus murinus (gray mouse lemur). The record is from RNAcentral. Lineage: Eukaryota; Metazoa; Chordata; Mammalia; Primates; Cheirogaleidae.